AGAUUGAACGCUGGCGGCAGGCCUAACACAUGCAAGUCGAGCGGCAGCACGGGUACUUGUACCUGGUGGCGAGCGGCGGACGGGUGAGUAAUGCCUAGGAAUCUGCCUGGUAGUGGGGGAUAACGCUCGGAGACGGACGCUAAUACCGCAUACGUCCUACGGGAGAAAGCAGGGGACCUUCGGGCCUUGCGCUAUCAGAUGAGCCUAGGUCGGAUUAGCUAGUUGGUGAGGUAAUGGCUCACCAAGGCGACGAUCCGUAACUGGUCUGAGAGGAUGAUCAGUCACACUGGAACUGAGACACGGUCCAGACUCCGUACGGGAGGCAGCAGGUGGGAAUAGUUGGACAAGUGGGACGAAAGCCGUGACUCCAGCCAUCGCCGCGGUGUGGUGAAGGAACGGUUCUACGGUAUUAGUAAAGCUUAACGUUUUAAGGUAGGGAAGGUAAGGCUAAGUUACCUAAGUUACGUAUUC
RNAcentral lists this ribosomal RNA (471 nucleotides) under uncultured soil bacterium. RNAcentral's name for it is "bacterial SSU rRNA". It matches the Rfam family "Bacterial small subunit ribosomal RNA", at positions 26 to 479 of the family's 1533-position model. The record is from RNAcentral.